AGAGUUUGAUCAGUUGGGCCUACGAGGGACGAACGGCUGGCGGUGUGCUUCACACAUGCAAGUCGAACGAGGUAGCAAUACCUAGUGGCGGACGGGUGAGUAACGCGUGGGAAUCUGCCUUUAGAUGGGGGAUAACGGGUCGAAAGACUCGCUAAUACCGCAUAUGACGAAAGUUGAAAGGAGUAAUCCGUCUAAAGAUGAGCCCGCGUCCGAUUAGCUAGUUGGUAGAGUAAAAGCCUACCAAGGCGACGAUCGGUAGCUGGUCUGAGAGGAUGAUCAGCCACAAUGGGACUGAGACACGGCCCAUACUCCUACGGGAGGCAGCAGUGGGGAAUUUUACGCAAUGGGCGAAAGCCUGACGUAGCGACACCGCGUGAGCGAAGAAGCCCCUUGGGGUGUAAAGCUCUGUCAGCUGGAACGAAAAAAUGACGGUACCAGCAGAGGAAGCAUCGGCUAACUACGUG
Molecule: ribosomal RNA, 464 nt
Filed under: uncultured bacterium
Lineage: Bacteria
Description: bacterial SSU rRNA
Rfam family: Bacterial small subunit ribosomal RNA
Source: RNAcentral